GACGAACGCUGGCGGCGUGCCUAAUACAUGCAAGUCGAACGCAGUGGGGACGGGUGAGUAACACGUGGGUAACCUCCCAUCAGAGGGGAUAACACUUGGAAACAGGUGCUAAACCGAUACUGAUGGAUGGACCCGCGGUGCAUUAGCUAGUUGGUGAGGUAACGGCUCACCAAGGCCACGAUGCAUCGCCGACCUGUGAGGGUGAUCGGUCACUCUGCGACUGGGACACAGCCCAGACUCCUGCUGGAGGCAGCAGUAGGGAAACGUCGGCAAUGGACGAAAGUCAGACCGAGCAAUGCCGCGUGAAUGAAGAAGGUUUUCGGAUCAUAAAACUCUGUUGUUAGAGAAGCGGUAUCUAACCAGAAAGCCACGGAUAACUACGUGCCAGCAGCCGCGGUAAUAC
RNAcentral lists this ribosomal RNA (403 nucleotides) under uncultured bacterium. RNAcentral describes it as "partial 16S ribosomal RNA". It matches the Rfam family "Bacterial small subunit ribosomal RNA", at positions 28 to 526 of the family's 1533-position model. The record is from RNAcentral.